This 73-nucleotide transfer RNA is filed under the name Bacteroidota bacterium. RNAcentral's name for it is "Bacteroidetes bacterium (permafrost metagenome) tRNA-Arg". It matches the Rfam family "tRNA". Rfam says of the family: Transfer RNA (tRNA) molecules are approximately 80 nucleotides in length. Their secondary structure includes four short double-helical elements and three loops (D, anti-codon, and T loops). Lineage: Bacteria; Pseudomonadati; Bacteroidota. The record is from RNAcentral.
GCCCCUGUAGUGUAAUGGAUAACACAAGGCCCUUGCGAAGCCUGAGAUCUCAGUUCAAAUCUGGGCAGGGGCA